AUCGAACGCUGGCGGCAGGCCUAACACAUGCAAGUCGAGCGGAUGAAGGCAGCUUGCGCCUGGAUUCAGCGGCGGACGGGUGAGUAAUGCCUAGGAAUCUGCCUGCUAUUGGUGGAUAACGUCCGGAAACGGGCGCUAAUACCGCAUACGUCCUGCGGGAGCAAGUGGGGGAUCUUCGGACCUCACGCUAUCAGAUGAGUCUAGGUCGGGCUAGCUAGUUGGUUGGUUAAAGGCCUACCUAGCCGGGGAUUCGUAACUGGACUGUGAGGAUGGUCAGUCACAUGAGAACUGGGACAGGGUCAAGGCUCCUGAGGUAGGGAGCAGAGGGGAAUGUGGGACAAUGGGCGAAAGCCUGAUCCAGCGAUGCGGCGUGUGUGACGAAGGUCUUCGGAUUGUGAUGCACUCUAAGGUGGGGGGAAGGGCAGUAAGUUAAGACCAUGCUGGUUUGACGUUACCAGCAGAAUAAGCACCGGCUAACUACGUG
Molecule: ribosomal RNA, 484 nt
Filed under: uncultured bacterium
Lineage: Bacteria
Description: partial 16S ribosomal RNA
Rfam family: Bacterial small subunit ribosomal RNA
Source: RNAcentral